Molecule: ribosomal RNA, 2088 nt
Filed under: Salmonella enterica
Lineage: Bacteria; Pseudomonadati; Pseudomonadota; Gammaproteobacteria; Enterobacterales; Enterobacteriaceae
Description: partial 23S ribosomal RNA
Rfam family: Bacterial large subunit ribosomal RNA
Source: RNAcentral
CGAACUCGGAGAUAGCUGGUUCUCCCCGAAAUAGCUUUAGGGCUAGCCUCGGAAAACAGAGUCGUGGAGGUAGAGCACUGAUUGGGUGCGGGGCCCGCAAGGGUUACCAAGCUCAGUCAAACUCCGAAUGCCAUAGACUUACUUCCGGGAGUCAGACAGUGAGUGCUAAGAUCCAUUGUCAAAAGGGAAACAGCCCAGACCAUCAGCUAAGGUCCCCAAGUGUGUGUUAAGUGGGAAAGGAUGUGGAGUUGCACAGACAACCAGGAUGUUGGCUUAGAAGCAGCCACCAUUGAAAGAGUGCGUAAUAGCUCACUGGUCGAGUGACUCUGCGCCGAAAAUGUAACGGGGCUAAACACACCACCGAAGCUAUGGCUUGAUGCUUUGCAUCAGGGGUAGGGGAGCGUUGUAUAAGGGUUGAAGGUGUACCGUAAGGAGCGCUGGACAUUAUACAAGUGAGAAUGCCGGUAUGAGUAACGAAAAGAUCAGUGAGAAUCUGAUCCGCCGAAAGCCUAAGGGUUCCUGAGGAAGGCUCGUCCGCUCAGGGUAAGUCGGGACCUAAGGCGAGGCCGAAAGGCGUAGUCGAAGGACAACAGGUCGAAAUUCCUGUACCACCGUAAGCCGUUAUGAGCAAUGGGGGGACGCAGCAGGGUAGUGACGCGGACUGAUGGAUGUCCGUCUAAGCAGUGAGGCUGAUGUGUAGGCAAAUCCGCACAUCGUAAGGCUGGACUGUGAUGGGGAGCGAAAAUUAUAGUAGCGAAGGUCAUGAUCUCACACUGCCAAGAAAAGCCUCUAGCCAGGUGAUGGUGCCCGUACCGCAAACCGACACAGGUAGGCGAGAAGAGAAUUCUAAGGCGCGCGGAAGAACUCUCGUUAAGGAACUCGGCAAAAUGACCCCGUAACUUCGGGAGAAGGGGUGCCCCGGUAGUGUGAAUAGCACGAGGGGGCCGCAGUGAAAAGGCCCAAGCGACUGUUUAGCAAAAACACAGGUCUGUGCGAAGCCGUAAGGCGAAGUAUACGGGCUGACGCCUGCCCGGUGCUGGAAGGUUAAGGGGAGCGGUUAGGAGCAAUCCGAAGCUGUGAACCGAAGCCCCAGUAAACGGCGGCCGUAACUAUAACGGUCCUAAGGUAGCGAAAUUCCUUGUCAGGUAAAUUCUGACCCGCACGAAUGGCGUAACGACUUGGGCGCUGUCUCAACGAGAGAUCCGGUGAAAUUUUAAUACCUGUGAAGAUGCAGGUUACCCGCGACAAGACGGAAAGACCCCAUGGAGCUUUACUGCAGCUUGAUAUUGAAUUUGGGUACGAUCUGUACAGGAUAGGUGGGAGCCUUUGAAACGUGAGCGCCAGCUUGCGUGGAGGCACCGUUGGGAUACCACCCUGAUCGUAUCUAGGUUCUAACCUGGUACCGUAAUCCGGUGCGGGGACAGUGUCAGGUGGGCAGUUUGACUGGGGCGGUCGCCUCCUAAAGAGUAACGGAGGCGCCCAAAGGUUCCCUCAGAAUGGUUGGAAAUCAUUCGAAGAGUGCAAAGGCAUAAGGGAGCUUGACUGCGAGACCUACAAGUCGAGCAGGGACGAAAGUCGGGCUUAGUGAUCCGGUGGUACCGCAUGGAAGGGCCAUCGCUCAACGGAUAAAAGCUACCCUGGGGAUAACAGGCUUAUCUCCCCCAAGAGUCCACAUCGACGGGGAGGUUUGGCACCUCGAUGUCGGCUCAUCGCAUCCUGGGGCUGAAGUAGGUCCCAAGGGUUGGGCUGUUCGCCCAUUAAAGCGGUACGCGAGCUGGGUUCAGAACGUCGUGAGACAGUUCGGUCCCUAUCUGUCGUGGGCGUAGGAAAUUUGAGAGGAGCUGUCCUUAGUACGAGAGGACCGGGAUGGACGUACCGCUGGUGUACCAGUUGUUCCGCCAGGAGCACCGCUGGGUAGCUAUGUACGGAAGGGAUAAGCGCUGAAAGCAUCUAAGCGUGAAGCCCCCCUCAAGAUGAGAUUUCCCAGUAUGUAAGACCCCUUGAAGACGACGAGGUAGAUAGGCUGGGGGUGGAAGUGCAGCAAUGCAUGGAGCUGACCAGUACUAAUCGGUCGAGGGCUUAUCCAAG